RNAcentral lists this ribosomal RNA (257 nucleotides) under uncultured bacterium. Its description in RNAcentral is "partial 16S ribosomal RNA". It matches the Rfam family "Bacterial small subunit ribosomal RNA", at positions 524 to 776 of the family's 1533-position model. The record is from RNAcentral.
GACAGAGGUGCCAAGCGUUUAGGCGGAAUCACUGGGGCUUAAAAGCGUGUGUAGGCGGAUCGUUAAGUACCUUGUGAAAUCCCACGGCUCAACCGUGGAACUGCUGGGUAUACUGGCGGUCUUGAGCCACCUAGGGGCGAGCGGAACAAGCGGUGGAGCGGUGAAAUGCGUAGAUAUCGCUUGGAACGCCAACGGUGAAAACAGCUCGCUGGGGGUGUGCUGACGCUGGAGACACGAAAGCCAGGGGAGCGAACGGG